CCAAGCUGGCGGUGCUGCUUUGGGAGGUGGUGGAAGCUGUAGGAGGCAGGGCCUCAGUUGAGGAAGUGGGUCAGCAUGGCUCUGCAUUCUCAAGACACAACAAUCCAGAGGCAGUGACAUGAAUGCUUGCUCCGUGGACAGGUGGAAAAAUGACUGGGGAUAAAGGAUGGAUGAGAGCAGGACCUGCUGUCUCACAGCAGCGCCACACAGAACCCCACCUGCUGUGGAAUGCACACGAGCCAUUUUAGAGCAUGGGGGAAAUGUGGUAAAAUCCUUUAAAAUCUUCCUGACGAGUAAAUUCCUGGAAAGCAAUUAAUGUGGAAGGCUUUCAGGGACCAGAGGGAGUGGCAGAUAGCUUGAAUCCUGUUUCCUGAGUGGUCAGCCACGGACAUCACUCCAAACCAGGUAGCAAAGAGUGUGCUUUUUACAUCUCUGUUCUAGGAAGAACAUUUGCACAACUUCUAGCAACAUUCUUGGGUCAGUGGCCAUGACCCUGAGGCAAUGCUUAGCGCUACAGUGAUCGUUUGACUCCACACGGUACUACAAAAAGUGAAGCAGUGAAAGCCCUGGGCCACACCAACAAGCACGUGACAAGAGAGACGCUUGCUCAUACGACAGAGGCCUGCAUCCCUUAGGCAGAGUACUGACCAUGAUUGGAUG
This 660-nucleotide long non-coding RNA is filed under the name Rattus norvegicus (Norway rat). Its description in RNAcentral is "long non-coding RNA NONRATT032304". Lineage: Eukaryota; Metazoa; Chordata; Mammalia; Rodentia; Muridae. The record is from RNAcentral.